RNAcentral lists this ribosomal RNA (392 nucleotides) under uncultured bacterium. RNAcentral's name for it is "bacterial SSU rRNA". It matches the Rfam family "Bacterial small subunit ribosomal RNA", at positions 28 to 421 of the family's 1533-position model. The record is from RNAcentral.
GACGAACGCUGGCGGCGUGCUUAACACAUGCAAGUCGAGCGGUAAGGCCCUUUCGGGGGUACGACGAGCGGCGAACGGGUGAGUAACACGUGGGUGACCUGCCCUCAGCUCUGGGAUAAGCCUGGGAAACCGGGCCUAAUACUGGAUAUGACUCCAUGACGCAUGUUGUGGGGUGGAAAGCCUUGUGCGGCUGAGGAUGGGCCCGCGGCCUAUCAGCUUGUUGGUGGGGUGAUGGCCUACCAAGGCGACGACGGUAGCCGGCCUGAGAGGGCGACCGGCCACACUGGGACUGAGACACGGCCCAGACUCCUACGGGAGGCAGCAGUGGGGAAUCUUGCGCAAUGGGCGAAAGCCUGACGCAGCGACGCCGCGUGAGGGAUGACGGCCUGUGU